Molecule: ribosomal RNA, 463 nt
Filed under: uncultured bacterium
Lineage: Bacteria
Description: partial 16S ribosomal RNA
Rfam family: Bacterial small subunit ribosomal RNA
Source: RNAcentral
GACGAACGCUGGCGGCGUGCUUAACACAUGCAAGUCGAGCGGUAAGGCCCUUCGGGGUACACGAGCGGCGAACGGGUGAGUAACACGUGAGUAAUCUGCCCAUCACUUCGGGAUAACUCCGGGAAACCGGUGCUAAUACCGAAUAUGACCACUUCAGGCAUCUGAUGGUGGUGGAAAGUUCCGGCAGUGAUGGAUGAGCUCGCGGCCUAUCAGCUUGUUGGUGGGGUAGUGGCCUACCAAGGCUUCGACGGGUAGCCGGCCUGAGAGGGUGACCGGCCACACUGGGACUGAGACACGGCCCAGACUCCUACGGGAGGCAGCAGUGGGGAAUAUUGGACAAUGGGCGAAAGCCUGAUCCAGCAACGCCGCGUGAGGGAUGACGGCCUUCGGGUUGUAAACCUCUUUCAGCAGGGACGAAGCGCAAGUGACGGUACCUGCAGAAGAAGCACCGGCCAACUACGUG